Molecule: unclassified non-coding RNA, 3592 nt
Filed under: Leishmania donovani
Lineage: Eukaryota; Euglenozoa; Kinetoplastea; Trypanosomatida; Trypanosomatidae
Description: gene:LdHU3.18.1400(CDS-product:cAMP_phosphodieste rase_A_putative)
Source: RNAcentral
CUCUGUUUCUCUCUCUCUCUCUGCAAGAGAGCUGAAGUCUGACGCGCUUCUCGUUCUUUCAUUUUUUUCUCCUCUUUCCUCCCUUUUGGCAGCUUCUCCCCGACACGGUUGGUCGACCGCUCCAGAAAAUAACAGCAAGAGACGAAAUAGUAGACGAAAACCUCACCCACCGAACAGGCGGCCGCAAAAAAAUUCCCGUCUGAACUUUUCUUUUGCCUUCCUGCGGUGCCUCGCUCUAGCAGCGGCAACGAUGCCCGAGUUUCUUGAGCAGCUGCAGCAGCUGGCAAGUGUGUAUGCCAUCUGCGGCAAUACUGUCUCCGUGAUGGCGGGGAUGAGCGACACAGCAGAGGAGCUGUCAUUCCGUUCCUACGACAGUUCAGAAGACGCCUCCUACAUCUGCAACCUGAACGAGAAGGCCCUUCACACAGCGAAGGCCUCGCUCUGCGACAAUGCCGAUUGGAGCAGCUUCUUUCGCGAGGUUCAGCUGGCAUUCAACUCGGGUAAAGUAGCCGUGCAGCCUGGGAAUGCUCAUCGAGCCGCCGGUACUGCCGCCGCGCCAGUUUCCGCCGACUCCAAAGGCCUAGCAUGCUCGAUGGAGGUGCAUUGCCUGUCGGGGUCAGGGGAAAAGCGUGCCACCUUCGUGCUUGAGCGAACCACGGAGGACCAGCAGAAGUAUAUUCUCGAGAGCAUGCUGCAGGCGCAUCACAUGUAUAAUCACCCGAAGGAGUACGAGCAGAAGCUGCUCCACAUCAUGGAAGCCAAGGAGAUAGCGUGCACGAAGCGCGAGGCACUUGAUCGUGAGCUGGUCGCGCUGAACGAUAAUCUGACACGCAACAAACACAAGCAGAAGAUAAACAACGAGCGCAAAGAGGAGCUUCUAAAGAGCCUCGGCGGUUACAGCACAGAGAACACGGGAAAUCCCUGGCGAGCGAUCCAGGAACAGCAGCAGAGGGCAGCUGGCGAGAACAACAAGUCUCGGCUUCCGAGCCCGCUCGGGAACCGCACCUGCAAGGACUUUGAUCUUGUCCUGUUUCGCAUGAUCAAGAGUCGGUGGCUGUCACCGGAGCAGUGCGACGCAUGCUCGCCCGCGAAUCGCGUCGUGCAGCCGUUCUCCAAGGAGGACCUAGCGAUCCAGGUGAGCCAACUCUCAGGUAGCCGAGCUGCGAUAUGGAAGGCGCUGGACUCCAUCGACUCAUGGAGCUACCGCGUGUUUGAUGUCCAGGCGGCUAUGAGCGGUGACGACUACCUCUCGCUCUCGACACAGACGCACGGCGGGUCUCUUCUGGUAACCAUGUACGCACUGCUGUGCAUGCACGAUUUCCUGCAAAAAUUCCAGAUCGACGAGCAGAUUGCGCUCAACUGGAUCAGCGCAGUGGAGGCGAGCUACCAUGGAAACCCGUAUCACAACUCGAUGCACGCCGCGGAUGUGCUGCAGAUUACGGACUUCAUCAUCACACGGGGAGGGUUGGCGAAGCGGUGCGACCUAAGCGACAUCCAGGUCUUCUCUGCCUUGCUGGCUGCUUCGAUCCAUGACUUCGACCACCCUGGCAUCAACAAUAACUUCCACAUCAAGACAGGCAGCUACCUUGCUACGCUGUACAACGAUCGCAGUGUCCUGGAAAAUCUGCACGUGAGCAGCGUUUUCGAGCUCAUGAAGAACCCAGCCUUCAACAUCCUAGCAAGCUUCAGUGAUGAGCAGCGUCAUGAGGUCCGCGAGACGAUGAUAGAGAUGGUGCUGGCGACAGACAUGGGCUCUCACGGAAAGUACGUGGCGAAUCUGAAGGGCAAGAUGCAGGAGCACUCUAGUUUCACCCAGACCAGCGAGCAGAAUCUCUGCCUCGCGAUUGCUCUGAAAAUGGCCGACAUUUCAAACUGCGGGCGCCCGCUUGACAUUUACCUGCGCUGGGGCGCGAAGGUGUCGGACGAGUUCUACCAGCAGGGCGACCGUGAGCGCAACCUGGGCCUCGAAUGCAGUCCCUUCAUGGAUCGCCUUCAGCCGAGCCUUGCGAAGAGCCAGAUUGCCUUCAUGAACUACAUCAUCACUCCCUUCUUUGAGCAAGUGGCCGAGCUUCUGCCUGAUAUGCGCUUCGCGGUGGGUUUGGUGGAGGAAAACAAAGCGUACUGGGCCAACCACGACGACUCGUAGAGAGAUCCCACCCACCGCCUUUUGUGGCGCACCUGUUUCCUCACCGCCCCCCUUUUUCGUGGUGACACGCUCUUUGUGGAGACACACACACACACACGCACAGACAGACACAGUCUUCGUUCUAUCUAGCGUCACUUCGGUUCUCUUCAUCGGAAGCGGGACAAGGAUGUACAUAUUCGUUUAUUUCUCUUGUCGCAGCUCCCACCUUCACGACCUCCCUCGUUGCCUCUCCUUGCGAUGUUAUAUUAUUAUUUUUGUUGUUCUCGCCGAUUAUUUUUUCCACGCUGAUGGGAGGGAAUAAAAGGCGGAGGACAAGGGGGAGAGGGGUUGAAGGAAAAGGAGUAGCACCAACAAGAACCCUCACUCGAUUUCUUUUCCUCCUUUUCGUUCCGUAUCCGCUCAGUCUCCUUAAUUUUUUUGUGGUUUGAAUUUGGUGAGUUGUCCUAUUGAACCGCGAACACUUGCGAUCCCUCUGGUGGCUGUUGAUACGUGCGUGAUGAGCUCCACGCUUCUCGCUUCCUUCCCACUUUCUCGUCUUCUCACCCUCUGUUCUUCACCUCACAUGUGCAUUUGGCGUGUGUGCACGUAUGCGUAACGAGCCUGUCACACACGCUUCUUAGCCUCUCUCAUGUUUUUGUUUGCGCUUUCCCUUCAUGCCAACCUCCGUGCUUUUUUCUAUUUUUACGCUUGCUUUCAAUCCUGUUUGUGCUUCCGCCGCCGUUUUUAUUUCUCCCCUCCUCAGUGGUUGUUUGUGGUGUUACCUGAAUUGCCGUUUUGCACAUAUGCGGGCUUCCCCUUGACGAGGUUUACCUCUCUCUUCCCUUCCCUGGGUUUGUCGCAGGCCGCCCUGAUUCCCUCCCUUCCCCCCUCCCCUCCCGAUCCUUUGGUCUCCCUUGUGUACAAGAGAGAGGGCACCGUCGACCUCCUUCGCUUCUCUUUGUUUUCUUCGCCUCUUCGAUGAUGCGCUUAGUUUGACUGACGCAGUUCAGCGGGUAGAGUUUACAUGCUUUUACCUUUUUCGCACUUUCUUUUGACGAUUACGGCUCUACGCGGCUUACGUAUGGCGGCGAAAAGCCACUACUCUGUGAAAAAAAAACAAGAAAAGGCGUUGCCAAUGCGAAAGGGUGCGCUACUGGAGAUGAAGAUGAGCGUUGGUGCCAUCUUCGUUGGUGCUUCCCAUCGCUGAGUCCAUGCAUUGCGACUUUAGGCCUUAUCAAGGUCUGGCUGAUACUUCUCCACAAGAAUUUUGUCACUGCCGUGUGAACUCGGCAGCCAGGCUAUGGUUCCCAUCUCUUGCUUCUGGAGCAUAGCGUACCCCCCUUUGCAUCCUUUUCUUCUCGAGCCCAACGGCUCUUCUCCCUUUCUCGCCUCUUCUCUUCCACUGCCCGCCUUCGUCGACGUUUCUCGGUUUCACUCCACUCCCCUUUUCUCUGCACGGAGGAGAAG